Molecule: ribosomal RNA, 414 nt
Filed under: Triticum aestivum (bread wheat)
Lineage: Eukaryota; Viridiplantae; Streptophyta; Magnoliopsida; Poales; Poaceae
Description: partial small subunit ribosomal RNA
Source: RNAcentral
AUGGGUCAACGAUCUCGAGUUCGCCAUAGUGCCGCCCAGAGGCCUCCUCGGCGAGGCCGCCUGCACAGAUGCUUGGUGCACCGCGGCUGGAUCUCCAUCUCCACGAACAACAAGGACAACGACAGAGACCAGGCGCGGGCUGUGGUGGACACGGUUCAGUGUCAGGAGGUGAGCAUCACCAUGACGAGGCACAGCCUUGGGGCAGCGCUAAACGCGUUCGACAUCAUUGAGAAUGGUUACAGCUGCACGGCCGCUGCAUCGUACCCAGUCAUGGCGUUCACGUUCGCCCUGCACGGUGGCGGCACCGGCUUCAAGAAGCGGAUUAACGCUGCCACGGCCACCGGCCUCUGCGAUCUGUUCCGGACCGCGUCGGCGACGCUCGAGACAUUUUCCACAGCGUUGAUGAAGCACUAA